Molecule: long non-coding RNA, 589 nt
Organism: Populus euphratica (Euphrates poplar)
Lineage: Eukaryota; Viridiplantae; Streptophyta; Magnoliopsida; Malpighiales; Salicaceae
Exons: 4
Source: RefSeq, a predicted model, not a curated record
AAACCUUCAAACCUUGCAAGCACCUGUAAUGCAAGGAAAUACAGGUCAUGAUGAUAUAGAAAUUGAACAGGACAUGUGGACGUUGAAGAGUGGUACUGAUGGCAGCCUUCAGCUCUGUGAUUACCUUUGAAUACUUUUGAACAUCUUCUUCAAUUUGUUGGAAGUAUGCUGAUCUGAGGCACAAAGAAAGAAACUCAUUUGGUUCUAAUUUAUGACCUUUUCCAUUCCCUUCAAAUAAAGGUUAACCAAACAGAUUAUUUCUUGAUGUUAGAUUUCUUUAGAAAGCAAUACGUACCUCUUUGUAAUCUCUGCUAGUGCAUCAGCCAUUCCCUGCUUUCCGCCAGCACUGCUCGAAGCUGGACCCUUUCUUCCAGUAGGUGAUUUAGUAAGCUGAUUUCCUCCUUCCACCUUCCCCUUAAGCGCUCGAUACAAAGUGGAGGAGGUGGUGGAGCAGCUCCAUUUCCGAGAGGCAUAGGUGGUGGCGGUGGCAAUGGCAUCAUUCCUUUUGAAGACAUCAUGAGUGGUGGUGGAGGAGGUGGUGCGUUUCUUGCAGUUGAUGUUUGAGGUGGUGGUGGUGGUGGUGGUGGUG